AUGUUGAGGGCACCUUAUUGAAAGGUCCUUAUAUCUCUCCCAUGCAUCGUAAAGUAUUUCUAAAUCCAUCUGCACAAAAGAAGAGAUACCAUUACGUAAUUU
This 102-nucleotide small nucleolar RNA is filed under the name Gossypium barbadense (sea-island cotton). RNAcentral's name for it is "Plant small nucleolar RNA R71". It matches the Rfam family "Plant small nucleolar RNA R71". Rfam says of the family: R71 is a member of the C/D box family of snoRNAs containing the C (UGAUGA) and D (CUGA) box motifs. Multiple nearly identical copies of this snoRNA have been identified in Arabidopsis, and it is thought to function as a 2'-O-ribose methylation guide for 18S ribosomal RNA. RNAcentral also lists the same sequence under 1 other name. The record is from Rfam by way of RNAcentral. Lineage: Eukaryota; Viridiplantae; Streptophyta; Magnoliopsida; Malvales; Malvaceae.